This is a small nuclear RNA of Ailuropoda melanoleuca (giant panda), 106 nucleotides long. The record is from Ensembl. Lineage: Eukaryota; Metazoa; Chordata; Mammalia; Carnivora; Ursidae.
GUGCUUUUGCUUCAGCAGGACACACACUAAAACUGGAACCAUACGGAGAUUAGCAUGGCCCCUGCCCAAGGAUGACACACAGAUUCAUGAAGCGUUCCAGAUCAAG